AGCUGACUCCAAGGAGGCGACCGUACCUCCCAGAACAACCCAAGGCGGCACCCAUCCUCCCAGAGCCAGACUGGAGCAGGUUUCCAGAACUGGACCCGAAACCUUGGCGACGGAAAGAGAAGCAUCCACUCUGCUUUGUGCACUAGGCAAGACCCAGGUGGCUCCAUCCUGAUGAAGCUCCCUCUGCCAUAUUGAUCCUAAAGAAACCCCAGCCCAGCUCACCCACAGGUCACUGGCACAGGAAGUAUGGUGGGAUUCACACCCACUCCUCAUACCACUUGUGCUACCCAGACGCUCCUUCCCCUACCCUGACAUCCGGCCUCUCCUGGAGUGUACCUCCCUGCUCCUCACCUGCCAUCUGAUGGCCUAUUUGAAAACUGUGGUUUCAGUUGCUCUUGACUGUGAAGACAAAUGGAGCCCAUGACACAUAACAGUUUCCUUUGAGACUGAAACAUUUCAUCGUGCCUGGAAGCUCUUCAAGCAGAGCUUCCAGGUGGAUCAGAAGUUCAAGGUCAUCCUCUGCUACAUUAUGAGGCCAGGUUGAGCUACAUAAGAACCUGUCAUCAUCAUCAUCAUCAUCAUUGUUCAUCAACCAGAAAAAUAAGCUAGUGAACCUCCCUUUGCAGGAGCCAAUAUCCAUAUCUUUCUGUGUCUCCUAUUUUCUUGCUGGGCUCCUUUCCGAGCUUCUGUACCCCUGGCCAAGAAGGAAAAUCCCCAUACGGCUCAGCCACCACCUCUCCUGCUGUCCCCAGAUUCCUGGGAUGUGACCCAAGCUCUGGACUGGUGGCCACACACCAGUCACCUGGGCAACCAGGCACACUUCAGCAAAGAGAAACAGAAGCUGCUUCUGGCUGCCCUUUCCUGGAGAGUGUGAUCUGGAGGCUCAGAGAGUCCAGGCCUUUCUCCUCCAGGAGCAGGAGGUCCAAUGACAGUCUCCCCUUGGUGGCCUCAAGGCCCGGUGCAGAAGCUAGUAUGAAUUUCAUAAAAGACCAAACCAGGCAAUGGGGUUGCAUGGCUAUAGUCCUAGCAUGGGGGUGGGGUACCAGGGAGCAAGGAGGAACGGGAGUUCAAGGCCAGCCUCUGGCAUGAAACAAGCUGGAGGCCAGCAUGUACUAUAAGGGGACUUUGACUCAAAAAACUGUGUGUGCGUGUGCUCAAGUUUGGGAGUUGGGUGAGGGUGGAGUGGGUAAGGAGAAGGGAGGAAAUCACUGAGAUGGGUCAUGGAGUAAAGGCUUGUCACCAAUACCAAGAACCUGAGUUUGAUCCCUCAAACCCACACUUGCAGGAGAGAACUCACUCCUGUAAGUUGCUGUCUGACCUCUACAUGCAUUUUGUGGUACAGGAUCAAGCAUAUGAGCAUAUACAUGCCUGUACAAACACACACACACACACGAUCGAUACAUGCUUGAGGGAGCACCCUUGGGAAGAUGGAAAAGGGUCUGGGAAAGAAAGACAGGUGUGGGCAGGAGCCUGAGGGCAUGUUUAAUUUACCUAAUCCUAGGAAGGCAAAGGCUCCUCUGGUGGGAUUGCAGGUUUGCACUGUCACUGGGUACCGUCACACCCCGUGACACUGAUUGCACUGUCAAACACCUCUAGCCAAGGUCACAGGUAGCAUCAUGUUCAUUUUAGAAAUGAGGAUGCUGAGAAAGACUAGAGCUCUUACCCCAGGGACAGGGAGCUAUAGUGAUGAAGUCUGGGUGCUGGUGCAGAAUCUAGGCUCCCUCUGUGCUGCACCAACCGGCCCUGGGACCCAGGACCCUCAAACACCUCUUUUAAAGGACUCAUUUAACACUCCGAGGUCUCAUCUGCAACACCA
This is a long non-coding RNA of Meriones unguiculatus (Mongolian gerbil), 1816 nucleotides long. RefSeq lists it as uncharacterized. Lineage: Eukaryota; Metazoa; Chordata; Mammalia; Rodentia; Muridae. The record is from RefSeq and is a predicted model, not a curated record. The transcript has 3 exons.